This 642-nucleotide long non-coding RNA is filed under the name Homo sapiens (human). Its description in RNAcentral is "novel transcript". The record is from RNAcentral. Lineage: Eukaryota; Metazoa; Chordata; Mammalia; Primates; Hominidae.
UUUGGGGUUUCAGCAGGUGGCCCGGUGCUGAGACACAAGGGAGUUGUUUCUGGUCUGCAGACACUGAGGACACUUGCUAUGUGGCGUGGUGGAUGGUGGCUUCCAAUUGUGGACAAGAUAAGGACCAUUGCCCAGGCUGUCUAUGGAGCCAAAGAUAUCGAACUCUGUCCUGAGGCACAAGUCAAAAUAGAUCGUUACACUCAGCAGGGUUUUGGAAAUUUGCCCAUCUGCAUGGCAAAGACCGAUCUUUCUCUGUCUCACCAACCUGACAAAAAAGGUGUGCCAAGGGACUUCAUCUUACCUAUCAGUGAUGUCCGGGCCAGCAUAGGUGCUGGGUUCAUUUACCCUUUGGUCGGAACGAGAAUCUCCCCUCUGGCUCUAGUUGGAGAAUCCCAACCCAAGCAAGUCCAUCUUUGAACAAUAAACAUCUCCAGUACUGCUGGCUUUGGAAGACCCCAUGGUGAGAUGCUGGAGCUUUUUUCCGCUCCUGAUUUCACUUUCUAAAUAUUUACUUUUACUUUCCAUGUUCACUUGUAGGCCAGAUUUUUUUUCCUACCAUUGAAUUAUUUCAUCAUGUUCUAUUUAAUUAUUGUCUUAAUUGGCAUUGGUGACCACAAAUAAUAAUAAAUACUAUUAACUGAU